RNAcentral lists this non-coding RNA (58 nucleotides) under Spodoptera frugiperda (fall armyworm). The record is from RNAcentral. Lineage: Eukaryota; Metazoa; Arthropoda; Insecta; Lepidoptera; Noctuidae.
ACCCUGUACAGGAUGCUGCAUGGGGCUUAAAGCACCCUUGCAACAUCUUGUCCAGACC